RNAcentral lists this ribosomal RNA (1577 nucleotides) under Escherichia coli. RNAcentral's name for it is "partial 23S ribosomal RNA". It matches the Rfam family "Bacterial large subunit ribosomal RNA", at positions 1 to 1617 of the family's 2925-position model. Lineage: Bacteria; Pseudomonadati; Pseudomonadota; Gammaproteobacteria; Enterobacterales; Enterobacteriaceae. The record is from RNAcentral.
UUGUGAGGUUAAGCGACUAAGCGUACACGGUGGAUGCCCUGGCAGUCAGAGGCGAUGAAGGACGUGCUAAUCUGCGAUAAGCGUCGGUGAGGUGAUAUGAACCGUUAUAACCGGCGAUUUCCGAAUGGGGAAACCCAGUGUGUUUCGACACACUAUCAUUAACUGAAUCCAUAGGUUAAUGAGGCGAACCGGGGGAACUGAAACAUCUAAGUACCCCGAGGAAAAGAAAUCAACCGAGAUUCCCCCAGUAGCGGCGAGCGAACGGGGAGGAGCCCAGAGCCUGAAUCAGUGUGUGUGUUAGUGGAAGCGUCUGGAAAGGCGCGCGAUACAGGGUGACAGCCCCGUACACAAAAAUGCACAUACUGUGAGCUCGAUGAGUAGGGCGGGACACGUGGUAUCCUGUCUGAAUAUGGGGGGACCAUCCUCCAAGGCUAAAUACUCCUGACUGACCGAUAGUGAACCAGUACCGUGAGGGAAAGGCGAAAAGAACCCCGGCGAGGGGAGUGAAAAAGAACCUGAAACCGUGUACGUACAAGCAGUGGGAGCCUCUUAAUGGGGUGACUGCGUACCUUUUGUAUAAUGGGUCAGCGACUUAUAUUCUGUAGCAAGGUUAACCGAAUAGGGGAGCCGAAGGGAAACCGAGUCUUAACUGGGCGUUAAGUUGCAGGGUAUAGACCCGAAACCCGGUGAUCUAGCCAUGGGCAGGUUGAAGGUUGGGUAACACUAACUGGAGGACCGAACCGACUAAUGUUGAAAAAUUAGCGGAUGACUUGUGGCUGGGGGUGAAAGGCCAAUCAAACCGGGAGAUAGCUGGUUCUCCCCGAAAGCUAUUUAGGUAGCGCCUCGUGAAUUCAUCUCCGGGGGUAGAGCACUGUUUCGGCAAGGGGGUCAUCCCGACUUACCAACCCGAUGCAAACUGCGAAUACCGGAGAAUGUUAUCACGGGAGACACACGGCGGGUGCUAACGUCCGUCGUGAAGAGGGAAACAACCCAGACCGCCAGCUAAGGUCCCAAAGUCAUGGUUAAGUGGGAAACGAUGUGGGAAGGCCCAGACAGCCAGGAUGUUGGCUUAGAAGCAGCCAUCAUUUAAAGAAAGCGUAAUAGCUCACUGGUCGAGUCGGCCUGCGCGGAAGAUGUAACGGGGCUAAACCAUGCACCGAAGCUGCGGCAGCGACACUAUGUGUUGUUGGGUAGGGGAGCGUUCUGUAAGCCUGUGAAGGUGUACUGUGAGGUAUGCUGGAGGUAUCAGAAGUGCGAAUGCUGACAUAAGUAACGAUAAAGCGGGUGAAAAGCCCGCUCGCCGGAAGACCAAGGGUUCCUGUCCAACGUUAAUCGGGGCAGGGUGAGUCGACCCCUAAGGCGAGGCCGAAAGGCGUAGUCGAUGGGAAACAGGUUAAUAUUCCUGUACUUGGUGUUACUGCGAAGGGGGGACGGAGAAGGCUAUGUUGGCCGGGCGACGGUUGUCCCGGUUUAAGCGUGUAGGCUGGUUUUCCAGGCAAAUCCGGAAAAUCAAGGCUGAGGCGUGAUGACGAGGCACUACGGUGCUGAAGCGACAAAUGCCCUGCUUCCAGGAAAAG